This 253-nucleotide ribosomal RNA is filed under the name uncultured bacterium. RNAcentral's name for it is "partial 16S ribosomal RNA". It matches the Rfam family "Bacterial small subunit ribosomal RNA", at positions 524 to 776 of the family's 1533-position model. The record is from RNAcentral.
UACGGGGGGAGCAAGCGUUGUUCGGAUUUACUGGGCGUAAAGGGCGCGUAGGCGGUAGCACAAGUCAGUUGUGAAAUCUCCGGGCUUAACUCGGAAAGGUCAACUGAUACUGUGCGACUAGAGUGCAGAAGGGGCAACUGGAAUUCUCGGUGUAGCGGUGAAAUGCGUAGAUAUCGAGAGGAACACCUGCGGCGAAGGCGGGUUGCUGGGCUGACACUGACGCUGAGGCGCGAAAGCCAGGGGAUCGAACGGG